GAUGAACGCUGGCGGCGUGCUUAACACAUGCGAGUCGAACGAUGAAGCCCAGCUUGCUGGGUGGAUUAGUGGCGAACGGGUGAGUAACACGUGAGCAACCUGCCCCUGACUCUGGGAUAAGCGCUGGAAACGGCGUCUAAUACUGGAUAUGUCCCGUCACCGCAUGGUGUGCGGGUGGAAAGAUUUUUCGGUUGGGGAUGGGCUCGCGGCCUAUCAGCUUGUUGGUGAGGUAAUGGCUCACCAAGGCGUCGACGGGUAGCCGGCCUGAGAGGGUGACCGGCCACACUGGGACUGAGACACGGCCCAGACUCCUACGGGAGGCAGCAGUGGGGAAUAUUGCACAAUGGGCGGAAGCCUGAUGCAGCAACGCCGCGUGAGGGAUGACGGCCUUCGGGUUGUAAACCUCUUUUAGCAGGGAAGAAGCGAAAGUGACGGUACCUGCAGAAAAAGCACCGGCUAACUACGUG
This 467-nucleotide ribosomal RNA is filed under the name uncultured bacterium. RNAcentral describes it as "partial 16S ribosomal RNA". It matches the Rfam family "Bacterial small subunit ribosomal RNA", at positions 28 to 507 of the family's 1533-position model. The record is from RNAcentral.